UACGGAAGGUCCGGGCGUUAUCCGGAUUUAUUGGGUUUAAAGGGAGCGUAGGCCGGUCUUUAAGCGUGCCGUGAAAUUUUGUGGCUCAACCAUGAGAGUGCGGCGCGAACUGGAGACCUUGAGUGCGCGGAAGGCAGGCGGAAUUCGUGGUGUAGCGGUGAAAUGCGUAGAUAUCAGGAGGAACACCGGCGGCGAAGGCGGCCUGCUGGACCGCGACUGACGUUGAGGCUCGAAAGCGUGGGGAGCGAACAGG
This 253-nucleotide ribosomal RNA is filed under the name uncultured Prevotella sp. RNAcentral describes it as "partial 16S ribosomal RNA". It matches the Rfam family "Bacterial small subunit ribosomal RNA", at positions 524 to 776 of the family's 1533-position model. The record is from RNAcentral. Lineage: Bacteria; Pseudomonadati; Bacteroidota; Bacteroidia; Bacteroidales; Prevotellaceae.